Molecule: ribosomal RNA, 497 nt
Filed under: uncultured bacterium
Lineage: Bacteria
Description: partial 16S ribosomal RNA
Rfam family: Bacterial small subunit ribosomal RNA
Source: RNAcentral
GAUGAACGCUGGCGGCGUGCCUAAUACAUGCAAGUCGAGCGAACAGACGAGGAGCUUGCUCCUCUGACGUUAGCGGCGGACGGGUGAGUAACACGUGGAUAACCUACCUAUAAGACUGGGAUAACUUCGGGAAACCGGAGCUAAUACCGGAUAACAUGUUGAACCGCAUGGUUCAACAGUGAAAGACGGUCUUGCUGUCACUUAUAGAUGGAUCCGCGCCGCAUUAGCUAGUUGGUAAGGUAACGGCUUACCAAGGCAACGAUGCGUAGCCGACCUGAGAGGGUGAUCGGCCACACUGGAACUGAGACACGGUCCAGACUCCUACGGGAGGCAGCAGUAGGGAAUCUUCCGCAAUGGGCGAAAGCCUGACGGAGCAACGCCGCGUGAGUGAAGAAGGUCUUCGGAUCGUAAAACUCUGUUAUUAGGGAAGAACAAAUGCGUAAGUAACUAUGCACGUCUUGACGGUACCUAAUCAGAAAGCCACGGCUAACUACGUG